UACGUAGGUGGCAAGCGUUGUUCGGAAUUAUUGGGCGUAAAGGGCGCGUAGGCGGCCUUCUAAGUCGGACGUGAAAUCCCCAGGCUUAACCUGGGAACUGCGUCCGAUACUGGAGGGCUUGAGUGCGGGAGAGGGAUGUGGAAUUCCAGGUGUAGCGGUGAAAUGCGUAGAUAUCUGGAGGAACACCGGUGGCGAAGGCGGCAUCCUGGACCGACACUGACGCUGAGGCGCGAAAGCCAGGGGAGCAAACGGG
Molecule: ribosomal RNA, 253 nt
Filed under: uncultured Acidobacteriota bacterium
Lineage: Bacteria; Pseudomonadati; Acidobacteriota
Description: uncultured Acidobacteria bacterium partial 16S ribosomal RNA
Rfam family: Bacterial small subunit ribosomal RNA
Source: RNAcentral